CCUACGGGUGGCAGCAGUGGGGAAUAUUGCACAAUGGGGGAAACCCUGAUGCAGCGACGCCGCGUGAGGGAAGAAGUAAUUCGUUACGUAAAGCUCUAUCAGCAGGGAAGAAAAUGACGGUACCUGAGUAAGAAGCCCCGGCUAACUACGUGCCAGCAGCCGCCGGAAUACUGAGGGGGCAAGCGUUAUCCGGUUUUACUGGGUGUAAAGGGAGCGUUGACGGGGUGCCAAGUCUGGCGGGAAAGGCAGCAGCUUAACUGCGGAACUGCUUUGGAAACUGGCGAACUAGAGUGCGGGAGGGGUAAGCGGAAUGCCUGGUGUAGCGGUGAAAUGCGUAGAUAUUAGGAGGAACACCGGUGGCGAAGGCGGCUUACUGGACCGUAACUGACGUUGAGGCUCGAAAGCGUGGGGAGCGAACAGGAUUAGAUACCCGUGUAGUC
This 440-nucleotide ribosomal RNA is filed under the name uncultured bacterium. Its description in RNAcentral is "partial 16S ribosomal RNA". It matches the Rfam family "Bacterial small subunit ribosomal RNA", at positions 338 to 795 of the family's 1533-position model. The record is from RNAcentral.